UGAAAGGCAAUAACAAGAGCACUCUGAGAGUGCAAACCUCUGCCAAGGCAACACCAAUGUCCUCUCAAUGACCAGCCAGAGAUGAUUUUGAAAAUGAGAACAUCUGAAAAACUAGACUUCUCUCACAAACAAGAAUACUAAAAAUGAACCUGACUGCUCUCAAAAUUUACGUAAAAAAAACAGGAUAAAUAAUCCAGAAACCUUGUCUGGUAACCAAUCGAUCCCGAAAUCUCAUCAGUUCGAACCAGUCACAAGGCCAAACAUCCCUGAAAGUUUCAACUGAAUCCAUGCAGUGGUUCUUAAGAUAUCUUGUCCUUGGACAAACAAAUAUGACUGAAC
Octopus sinensis (East Asian common octopus) is the source of this 339-nucleotide long non-coding RNA. RefSeq lists it as uncharacterized. The record is from RefSeq and is a predicted model, not a curated record. The transcript is spliced from 3 exons. NCBI's taxonomy places the organism in Eukaryota, Metazoa, Mollusca, Cephalopoda, Octopoda, Octopodidae.